UUUCCGUAGGUGAACCUGCGGAAGGAUCAUUAUUGUAUAACCGAGGUGCGAGGGCUGUCGCUGACCCGAAAGGUCGUGCACUCCCGCGUGCUCUCACACAAUCCAUCUCACCCCUUGUGCACCACCGCGAGGGUCCCUUUCUGGCUCGUCCGCAGGGGGGCUCGCGUUUUCACACAAACUUGAAGUAGUGUAGAAUGUACUUUUUUUGCGAUAACACGCGAUGAAUACAACUUUCAACAACGGAUCUCUUGGCUCUC
This 257-nucleotide unclassified non-coding RNA is filed under the name plant metagenome. Its description in RNAcentral is "partial contains small subunit ribosomal RNA, internal transcribed spacer 1, and 5.8S ribosomal RNA". The record is from RNAcentral.